CUUUUUAUUGCAUUCGUUGUCUAACAACAAUAAUACUCAUUGGCAAGAAGUUUUUAUUUACAUUAACAAAGUAAAUUUAAUCACAGGUAUUUUUAGAUUGGUCAGAAAAUAAAAGACCACUGGUAUAUUUUGCUUUGAGUAUCUCUGAAAACAAAAGCAUAAGGAAUGGCAUUUGAAAUGGUACAUAUUAACCAAGCACAAGAGAACAAUUCAGACAUUGCACUACUGUCUCUUCCAUGCAAAUAAUCAGACAUCAAAAUGUAGAAAUUAAAAGUUCAGGUAACAUGCUACCCAUACUUUUUGGACUCAAAUUUAUUUUCAAACAACUUUCUUUAGUGAAAAAGAAAUAUGAAAGUGAAUCAAAUCCUUACAGAACAGAAUGUAUUCCCUUUUAUUUCUCAGCUGCCCAGCUUUGUUAGUAAUAUGUAGCAGGUAUAAUUGUGGUUUAAUCGCAACACCAUUAAAAAGUACAAAAGCAGCAGUUCUGAUAUUAAUAUUGAGGAAAGCAUAUGCAUAUAGAUUUAAAGGACUUCACUAAGCACUAACUACAUUCGAUGUUGUUGGGAGGUCUUAUCUAGCCAGGGUGGCCCUUCCUGCCAUUUUUGGGUAAUCUAUUUUUGGCCAAUUCUUCUUUCAUGAGUGGAUGAUUAAAUCUUGAACAGAAAGCCUAAGUGUAAGAAUAAAAGAGCUGAAAGAAACAGAAGUGUACACCUUCCAACAACUCACACUUAAAAUGAUUCACUUUAUUUUUGGGGACAUCCAAAAUGCCAUUACUUAGCACAAGAUGACCAAAAUGCCAUUAUUUGGCACAAUAAGUAAAUAAAUGGUCAUGUAAUGGCUACACUGCCAUCAGAGGCAGUGGUGACUUUAGCAUCACAGCUACUGAUGUCAUCUUAGAAGUCAAUGCACAAGAACACACAGUGCAAUUUUUAGCCAAGAAAACUGCAGUCUGCAGUUGAAAAUGCCCAAAGCUGCAUAAUAUCUUCUGAGCUCUAACUCAAAAAUGUGCAAUCUUGAAAUGAAAGCAUUAACCAAACAC
This is a long non-coding RNA of Heterocephalus glaber (naked mole-rat), 1039 nucleotides long. Lineage: Eukaryota; Metazoa; Chordata; Mammalia; Rodentia; Bathyergidae. The record is from Ensembl.